GCAUGGAAGAAGCUUGCUUCUUCUGAUGGCGACCGGCGCACGGGUGCGUAACGCGUAUCAAACCUGCCUCAUACUCGGGGAUAGCCUUGCGAAAGUAAGAUUAAUACCCGAUGUUGUUAUGUUACCGCAUGGUGAUAUAACCAAAGAUUUAUCGGUAUGAGAUGGUGAUGCGUCCGAUUAGGUAGUAGGCGGGGUAACGGCCCACCUAGCCUUCGAUCGGUAGGGGUUCUGAGAGGAAGGUCCCCCACACUGGAACUGAGACACGGUCCAGACUCCUACGGGAGGCAGCAGUGAGGAAUAUUGGUCAAUGGACGAAAGUCUGAACCAGCCAAGUAGCGUGCAGGAUGACGGCCCUCUGGGUUGUAAACUGCUUUUAGUUGGGAAUAAAAAAGAGGACGUGUCCUCUAUUGUAUGUACCUUCAGAAAAAGGACCGGCUAAUUCCGUGCCAGCAGCCGCGGUAAUACGGAAGGUCCAGGCGUUAUCCGGAUUUAUUGGGUUUAAAGGGAGCGUAGGCGGAUUAUUAAGUCAGUGGUGAAAGCACGGUGGCUCAACCAUCGUUAGCCAUUGAAACUGGUAGUCUUGAGUGCAGACAGGGAUGCUGGACCUCGUGGUGUAGCGGUGACACGCUUAGAUAUCACGAUGAACUCCGAUCGCGAAGGCAGGUGUCCGGGCUGCAACUGACGCUGAGGCUCGAAAGUGUGGGUAUCAAACAGGAUUAGAUACCCUGGUAGUCCACACAGUAAACGAUGUAUACUCGCGGUUUGCGAUAGACAGUAAGCCGCCAAG
Molecule: ribosomal RNA, 787 nt
Filed under: uncultured Prevotellaceae bacterium
Lineage: Bacteria; Pseudomonadati; Bacteroidota; Bacteroidia; Bacteroidales; Prevotellaceae
Description: bacterial SSU rRNA
Rfam family: Bacterial small subunit ribosomal RNA
Source: RNAcentral